This 175-nucleotide ribosomal RNA is filed under the name Phyllodytes sp. 2 BLB-2020. RNAcentral's name for it is "partial 16S ribosomal RNA". Lineage: Eukaryota; Metazoa; Chordata; Amphibia; Anura; Hylidae. The record is from RNAcentral.
ACGUGAUCUGAGUUCAGACCGGAGCAAUCCAGGUCAGUUUCUAUCUAUAAUAGGAGCUUUCUCUAGUACGAAAGGACCGAAAAAGCACGGCCAAUAUUUUAUGCAAGCCGUUACUAGUAAAACAUGACCAAAUCUUAAUUAAUAUGCAUUCCCCUAAUAAACUUAAAAAAAAAGU